Corapipo altera (White-ruffed manakin) is the source of this 1253-nucleotide long non-coding RNA. RefSeq lists it as uncharacterized. NCBI's taxonomy places the organism in Eukaryota, Metazoa, Chordata, Aves, Passeriformes, Pipridae. The transcript is spliced from 3 exons. The record is from RefSeq and is a predicted model, not a curated record.
CGCGCGCGUGGCCGUCCUGAGGGGCCGGGGUGCUCCCGCUCCCCUUAUCCCGGGAGUUGCUCUCUUUUUCGAGGGGCUCCCGCUCCCCUCACCCCGGGAGUUGUUUCCUUUCUCGAGGGGCUGCGGAGCUCUGGCUCCCCCGCCCCCCAGAGAAUUGUUCCCUUCCCGAGGAGAAGCUGGACGAGGGGGUUUCCUGGGGUCACCCGGCGGGGCUCGAGUCCCUCUUCCUUCCCUUACCAAACCCGGUUGUCCCUCGGCGGCCUCCCUUGUUGUACUCGGAAAAAGAAAGUAAAGGGAAAGUUCAGAGCGUUGUAAUCUGAGUCUCGGAGGGGUUGUGUUAAUAUUGCCAUUCUUAUGUUGGAGGGAUUGAGACUUUUAAACAGCGCUGAGCGUGUCCUUGGUAAGAGAGGAGAGCUGGGGGAGACUGGAAUUUGGGGUGUGUUAUAGGAGGAUUAGCUGUGGUGCGUAAGCUCGGAGAGGAAGGCCAUUGUCUCCAAAAUGAGCAUUUCUUUUGCUUGUCGAAGAGCUUUCUAACAGGGGAAGUUCCCUAUUCUAUGCUCUGGUGUUCUCAGCACAGGGGCUGAGAAGCAAUGGAAACAAAUUUGGCUCCUAAAACAUUUCUUUGCUUUCUACCUGCAAAAAGGAUGAGGAUGGGGCCUGCUGGGAUUUGAGGUGUUAUCUCAGAACAUUGCACUGUUCAUUGGGUGCUGUCUUGUCAAGAGAUCAACAUUUCAACUGCCCCUUGACACUGGCUUUUUAAAACAAGUUAGAGCAGGAAGGUAUUUUCCAACGUAUAGUUGGAUACCCUCAGCUCUCUCACGGAGAGAGGAGGAAAUGGAAGGGUUGAAAAUACACUGAGAGCAGAAAGCCACAAUACAGAAGGACUAAACAGGUGAGAGAUUAUAGUGCUCUGUACAUGUGACCAGUGGUGAAGCAAAAUAAAAUAUGUAGACAAGUGGCAGAUGAGCAACUUGACAGUUUACCCUGCAGUGUCCUGCGAGUGGGAAAAUAUGCUUGUUUCGAGGCUAAAGAUGGUGGUUGAACCUAUUUCUUCACUGCCAGCUGCACUAGCUGCUGUAUUUUAUGUUCCAAGGCAUAAAGUGGAGUAUGCAAGUGACUCAAAGGAGCUGGAAAUUCUAAUAAGUUUGUAUAAUAUAUGAUGAAGUUGCAUUUCUACAAAGUGACUAGCUUUGAUAUCAUGAAAGUUGCUUUUAGCAGAAAGUGCAAGCAAGCUUACCACGUUAUCUCUAAAC